GCUCAGGAUGAACGCUGGCGGCGUGCUUAACACAUGCAAGUCGAACGAAUCCUUCGGGAUGAGUGGCGGACGGGUGAGUAACGCGUGAGUAUCUGCCCAAAGGUGGGGGACAACCAUUGGAAACGAUGGCUAAUACCCCAUAUGCCGAGAGGUGAAAGGUUUACUGCCUUUGGAUGAGCUCGCGUCUGAUUAGCUAGAUGGUGGGGUAAUGGCUUACCAUGGCGACGAUCAGUAGCUGGUCUGAGAGGAUGAUCAGCCACACUGGGACUGAGACACGGCCCAGACUCCUACGGGAGGCAGCAGUGGGGAAUUUUCCGCAAUGGGCGAAAGCUUGACGGAGCAACGCCGCGUGAGGGAGGAAGGUCUUUGGAUUGUAAACCUCUUUUCUCAAGGAAGAUAAUGACGGUACUUGAGGAAUCAGCAUCGGCUAACUCCGUGCCAGCAGCCGCGGUAAUACGGGGGAUGCAAGCGUUAUCCGGAAUUAUUGGGCGUAAAGCGUCCGUAGGCGGCCAGAUAAGUCUGUUGUUAAAGCGUGCAGCUCAACUGCAUACCGGCAAUGGAAACUAUUUGGCUAGAGUGUGGUAGGGGUAGAGGGAAUUCCCGGUGUAGCGGUGAAAUGCGUAGAUAUCGGGAAGAACACCAGUGGCGAAAGCGCUCUGCUGGGCCACAACUGACGCUGAUGGACGAAAGCUAGGGGAGCGAAAGGGAUUAGAUACCCCUGUAGUCCUAGCCGUAAACGAUGAACACUAGGUGUUGUCUGUAUCGACCCGGACAGUGCCGUAGCUAACGCGUUAAGUGUUCCGCCUGGGGAGUACGCACGCAAGUGUGAAACUCAAA
This 837-nucleotide ribosomal RNA is filed under the name uncultured marine bacterium. Its description in RNAcentral is "bacterial SSU rRNA". It matches the Rfam family "Bacterial small subunit ribosomal RNA", at positions 22 to 905 of the family's 1533-position model. The record is from RNAcentral.